GGGCGCGGAGUGCUUGCACUUCGGCGUCGAGCGGCGGACGGGUGAGUAAUGCUUGGGAAUAUGCCUUAAGGUGGGGGACAACAGUUGGAAACGACUGCUAAUACCGCAUAAUGUCUACGGACCAAAGGAGGGGAUCUUCGGACCUUUCGCCUUUAGAUUAGCCCAAGUGAGAUUAGCUAGAUGGUGGGGUAAUGGCCUACCAUGGCGACGAUCUCUAGCUGGUUUGAGAGGAUGAUCAGCCACACUGGGACUGAGACACGGCCCAGACUCCUACGGGAGGCAGCAGUGGGGAAUAUUGCACAAUGGGCGAAAGCCUGAUGCAGCCAUGCCGCGUGUGUGAAGAAGGCCUUCGGGUUGUAAAGCACUUUCAGCGAGGAGGAAAGGUUAGUAGUUAAUACCUGCUAGCUGUGACGUUACUCGCAGAAGAAGCACCGGCUAACUCCGUGCCAGCAGCCGCGGUAAUACGGAGGGUGCGAGCGUUAAUCGGAAUUACUGGGCGUAAAGCGUGCGUAGGCGGAUUGUUAAGCGAGAUGUGAAAGCCCAGGGCUCAACCUUGGAACUGCAUUUCGAACUGGCUAUCUAGAGUAUUGUAGAGGGUGGUGGAAUUUCCAGUGUAGCGGUGAAAUGCGUAGAGAUUGGAAGGAACAUCA
RNAcentral lists this ribosomal RNA (650 nucleotides) under uncultured bacterium. RNAcentral's name for it is "bacterial SSU rRNA". It matches the Rfam family "Bacterial small subunit ribosomal RNA", at positions 64 to 711 of the family's 1533-position model. The record is from RNAcentral.